This 255-nucleotide ribosomal RNA is filed under the name uncultured bacterium. RNAcentral describes it as "partial 16S ribosomal RNA". It matches the Rfam family "Bacterial small subunit ribosomal RNA", at positions 524 to 776 of the family's 1533-position model. The record is from RNAcentral.
UACGGAGGGAGCUAGCGUUGUUCGGAAUUACUGGGCGUAAAGCGCACGUAGGCGGCUAUUCAAGUCGGGGGUGAAAGCCCGGGGCUCAACCCCGGAACUGCCCUCGAAACUAGAUAGCUAGAAUCUUGGAGAGGCGAGUGGAAUUCCGAGUGUAGAGGUGAAAUUCGUAGAUAUUCGGAAGAACACCAGUGGCGAAGGCGACUCGCUGGACAAGUAUUGACGCUGAGGUGCGAAAAGCGUGGGGGAGCAAACAGG